CCUACGGGAGGCAGCAGUAGGGAAUCUUUCACAAUGGGCGAAAGCCUGAUGGAGCAACGCCGCGUGCAGGAUGAAGGCCUUCGGGUUGUAAACUGCUUUUAUAAGCGAGAAAUAUGAUGGUAACUUAUGAAUAAGGAUCGGCUAACUACGUGCCAGCAGCCGCGGUCAUACGUAGGGUCCGAGCAUUAUCCGGAGUGACUGGGUGUAAAGAGUUGCGUAGGUGGCAUAAUAAGUAGCUAGUGAAAUCUGGUGGCUCAACCAUUCAGACUAUUAGCUAAACUGUUAAGCUCGAGACCGUUAGGGGUAACUGGAAUUUCUAGUGUAGGAGUGAAAUCCGUAGAUAUUAGAAGGAACACCAAUAGCGUAGGCAGGUUGCUGGGACGGUUCUGACACUAAGGCACGAAAGCGUAGGGAGCAAACGGGAUUAGAUACCCGAGUAGUC
This 442-nucleotide ribosomal RNA is filed under the name uncultured bacterium. RNAcentral's name for it is "partial 16S ribosomal RNA". It matches the Rfam family "Bacterial small subunit ribosomal RNA", at positions 338 to 795 of the family's 1533-position model. The record is from RNAcentral.